AAAAGUAAAAAUAUUUAAACUUAUAAUUUGAAAUUAAAAGAUAAAAUAGCUUAGACGUAAAUAUUUAAAGUAGGUAAUAGUUUUAAUAUAUAUUUAUAGUUUGGGUGGCCUGGGGUAGAAUGGAAGAGGUGAGAUAUCUGGAAUCCACUUGGAAGAUAUUUAUUUAAGCAACUUUUGAGCUUGUCUAGUUGUGUGGUGGAGUCAGCUUUUGAGGCAAAGCAAGGCGAUUCGCGAUAUCGUUACGAUGUGAUGGCCCUUCUUUCUUCCUUUACAUCUCAUUUUCAUUCCUUUCUAACUCUGUCUUUCUUUUCUCUCACGUGACCCACCCUUUUCCUGUCUCCUCUUUCUCCCUUUUACUCUCCAUUUUUGGCAUCUUAUUAUAAUAAACUAACUUUACAUUCUCUUAUCACUACUCUUUCUAAACAUCUAACUUAACCUCCUCCUCACAUCCAAAAACCAAGCUACCGUCAACAACAUUUACAAAGAGAUGAUAUAACAAAGGAAAUCGAAAGAGAGAUUCCAAAUAAAAGAGAAAUCGAAAUAAAGUCAAUAUUGGGAAGGAAGUGUUCAAUAACCAUAUAUCAAGAAAAAUGUUGAAGUAGCAUGUAAACUCUAAAAAGAAAGAUUUUGAAUAGAGUGUAAAAUUAUUUUCGCAAUUUAAUGCUGGACGUUAUUCAUAAUACCACGUAGUGUCACUUAUACUUUAAAAUAUAACAAUUUUCUAUAUCAUCGCAAAAGCAAA
RNAcentral lists this long non-coding RNA (742 nucleotides) under Vigna radiata. RNAcentral describes it as "long non-coding RNA (VRAD_LNC016087)". The record is from RNAcentral. Lineage: Eukaryota; Viridiplantae; Streptophyta; Magnoliopsida; Fabales; Fabaceae.